UUCGGAUUGAAGCAACUGUGACUGAGCGGCGGACGGGUGAGUAACGCGUGGGUAACCUGCCUCAUACAGGGGGAUAACAGUUGGAAACGGCUGCUAAUACCGCAUAAGCGCACGGCAUCGCAUGAUGCAGUGUGAAAAACUCCGGUGGUGUGAGAUGGAUCCGCGUCUGAUUAGGUAGUUGGUGGGGUAACGGCCCACCAAGCCGACGAUCAGUAGCCGACCUGAGAGGGUGACCGGCCACAUUGGGACUGAGACACGGCCCAAACUCC
This 269-nucleotide ribosomal RNA is filed under the name uncultured Lachnospiraceae bacterium. RNAcentral's name for it is "partial 16S ribosomal RNA". It matches the Rfam family "Bacterial small subunit ribosomal RNA", at positions 73 to 339 of the family's 1533-position model. Lineage: Bacteria; Bacillati; Bacillota; Clostridia; Lachnospirales; Lachnospiraceae. The record is from RNAcentral.